This 249-nucleotide ribosomal RNA is filed under the name uncultured bacterium. RNAcentral's name for it is "partial 16S ribosomal RNA". It matches the Rfam family "Bacterial small subunit ribosomal RNA", at positions 57 to 305 of the family's 1533-position model. The record is from RNAcentral.
GCAAUUCGAGGGGUAACAGGGUGCUUUCACCGCUUACGACCGGCGAACGGGUGCGUAACGCGUAUAGAAUCUGCCUUGUACAGGAGGAUAGCCUUUAGAAAUGAAGAUUAAUACUCCAUAAUACUGAGAUGUGGCAUCACAAUUUAGUUAAACAUUUAUGGGUACAAGAUGACUAUGCGUCCUAUUAGCUAGAUGGUAAGGUAACGGGUUAACAUGGCAACGAUAGGGAGGGGGUCUGAGAGGAUUAUC